CGGAGAUCUGAUAUCUCGCCACUGGUGGUGGGAAUUCACGGGGAAACUCACCAGGUCCAGACACAAUAAGGAUUGACAGAUUGAGAGCUCUUUCUUGAUUUUGUGGGUGGUGGUGCAUGGCCGUUCUUAGUUGGUGGAGUGAUUUGUCUGCUUAAUUGCGAUAACGAACGAGACCUUAACCUACUAAAUAGUGGUGCUAGCAUUUGCUGGUUAUCCACUUCUUAGAGGGACUAUCGGUUUCAAGCCGAUGGAAGUUUGAGGCAAUAACAGGUCUGUGAUGCCCUUAGACGUUCUGGGCCGCACGCGCGCUACACUGACGGAGCCAGCGAGUCUAACCUUGGCCGAGAGGUCUUGGUAAUCUUGUGAAACUCCGUCGUGCUGGGGAUAGAGCAUUGUAAUUAUUGCUCUUCAACGAGGAAUUCCUAGUAAGCGCAAGUCAUCAGCUUGCGUUGAUUACGUCCCUGCCCUUUGUACACACCGCCCGUCGCUAGUACCGAUUGAAUGGCUUAGUGAGGCCUCAGGAUCUGCUUAGAGAAGGGGGCAACUCCAUCUCAGAGCGGAGAAUUUGGACAAACUUGGUCAUUUAGAGGAACUAAAAGUCGUAACAAGGUUUCCGUAGGUGAACCUGCGGAAGGAUCAUUA
This 642-nucleotide non-coding RNA is filed under the name Saccharomyces kudriavzevii IFO 1802. Its description in RNAcentral is "Eukaryotic small subunit ribosomal RNA". It matches the Rfam family "Eukaryotic small subunit ribosomal RNA", at positions 1199 to 1831 of the family's 1831-position model. Lineage: Eukaryota; Fungi; Ascomycota; Saccharomycetes; Saccharomycetales; Saccharomycetaceae. The record is from Rfam by way of RNAcentral.